RNAcentral lists this ribosomal RNA (401 nucleotides) under uncultured bacterium. Its description in RNAcentral is "bacterial SSU rRNA". It matches the Rfam family "Bacterial small subunit ribosomal RNA", at positions 356 to 774 of the family's 1533-position model. The record is from RNAcentral.
GGGGAAUCUUGGACAAUGGGCGCAAGCCUGAUCCAGCCAUGCCGCGUGAGUGAAGAAGGCCUUAGGGUUGUAAAGCUCUUUUGGCAGGAACGAUAAUGACGGUACCUGCAGAAUAAGCCCCGGCAAACUUCGUGCCAGCAGCCGCGGUAAUACGAAGGGGGCUAGCGUUGUUCGGAUUUACUGGGCGUAAAGCGCACGUAGGCGGAUUGUUAAGUCAGGGGUGAAAUCCCGGAGCUCAACUCCGGAACUGCCUUUGAUACUGGCAAUCUUGAGGCUGGAAGAGGUUGGUAGAAUUCCCAGUGUAGAGGUGAAAUUCGUAGAUAUUGGGAAGAAUACCAGUGGCGAAGGCGGCCAACUGGUCCAGAUCUGACGCUGAGGUGCGAAAGCGUGGGGAGCAAACA